Molecule: long non-coding RNA, 786 nt
Organism: Alligator mississippiensis (American alligator)
Lineage: Eukaryota; Metazoa; Chordata; Crocodylia; Alligatoridae
Exons: 4
Source: RefSeq, a predicted model, not a curated record
CUGCUGCCCAGCUGUGCUCCUCAUGAGACACUCCCCCUUUAGGUAAUCACAACCUUACUGCUUGUUACACAAAUGUUAAUCAGCUUAGUGAAAAUCAGCUUACUGGAGCAGUCACACAAAAGGCUAAAAAACUUUCUUUGGCUGUCCCUGGCCUGCACAGCUGACUUGCACCUAAAGGCUUUGCGACCAGAGGUGGGACUAGGAGCUGUAGCUGUGAGUUGCCACUACAGGGCUGGGCUGGCUGCUUGGGACGGGGAGCCGUGGGCAAAGUGAUUGGUUGUCUGGGGUUAUGUGCCUCCUGCAUGGGCCCCGGCAAGCCAGGUGUCCUCUUCCUUGCUGCUGGAAAUAUGGUAACCCUACCUUUGCCCCUGCCCCUAACUGGGGUCUCUGGGCAGCCCCAGCACUUAUACAGAUGGGGAAACUGAGGCACAAGCAUUGGAUGCCUCACCCAAGGCCACACAGGACCCCUGUAUCAGAGGAAGGAGCCUUAGAGCCAUGCUGCUUGUCCCUUUGCCCCUGCCUGGGGUCUCUGGGCAGCCCCCACACAGAGAGCGGACCCUGUAGCAGGAAGUGAGUGGUAAAGACUUACAAGAGAAUGAUGUGCUUAUAACCUCUCCGCUCAAGAUGAUUUUGCAGUUCUUUGGAAAUCCUUCAAGUUUCUCCUGAGAAAGGGGGAUAUAGUAGUAAGGGUUAACUCAUUUUUUGAGGGCUGACAAGAUAACAUCAACAGGAAGUUGCCACCAUCUUUGUGCAUGUGUGCUAGCAGUUGCAAUAAAGCCAUUUUUG